Molecule: ribosomal RNA, 180 nt
Filed under: uncultured bacterium
Lineage: Bacteria
Description: partial 16S ribosomal RNA
Rfam family: Bacterial small subunit ribosomal RNA
Source: RNAcentral
CCUACGGGAGGCAGCAGUGAGGAAUAUUUGGUCAAUGGGCGAGAGCCUGAACCAGCCAAGUAGCGUGCAGGAUGACGGCCCUAUGGGUUGUAAACUGCUUUUAUAAGGGAAUAAAGUGAGUCUCGUGAGACUUUUUGCAUGUACCUUAUGAAUAAGGACCGGCUAAUUCCGUGCCAGCAG